UACGUAGGGUGCGAGCGUUAAUCGGAAUUACUGGGCGUAAAGCGUGCGCAGGCGGCUCUCUAAGUCAGAUGUGAAAGCCCCGGGCUUAACCUGGGAAUUGCGUUUGAAACUGGCGGGCUGGAGUGUGGCAGAGGGAGGUGGAAUUCCACGUGUAGCAGUGAAAUGCGUAGAGAUGUGGAGGAACACCGAUGGCGAAGGCAGCCUCCUGGGCCAACACUGACGCUCAUGCACGAAAGCGUGGGGAGCAAACAGG
RNAcentral lists this ribosomal RNA (253 nucleotides) under uncultured bacterium. RNAcentral's name for it is "partial 16S ribosomal RNA". It matches the Rfam family "Bacterial small subunit ribosomal RNA", at positions 524 to 776 of the family's 1533-position model. The record is from RNAcentral.